RNAcentral lists this ribosomal RNA (414 nucleotides) under uncultured bacterium. RNAcentral's name for it is "bacterial SSU rRNA". It matches the Rfam family "Bacterial small subunit ribosomal RNA", at positions 355 to 767 of the family's 1533-position model. The record is from RNAcentral.
UAAGGAAUAUUGGUCAAUGGACGCAAGUCUGAACCAGCCAUGCCGCGUGAAGGAUGAAGGUCCUCUGGAUUGUAAACUUCUUUUAUCUGGGACGAAAACGGGAUUUUUAUCUCAAUUGACGGUACCAGAGGAAUAAGCACCGGCUAACUCCGUGCCAGCAGCCGCGGUAAUACGGAGGGUGCGAGCGUUAUCCGGAUUUACUGGGUUUAAAGGGUGCGUAGGUGGGCUUAUAAGUCAGUGGUGAAAUCUCCGAGCUUAACUUGGAAACUGCCGUUGUUACUAUAGGUCUUGAAUUAUCUGGAGGUAAGCGGAAGAUGUCAUGUAGCGGUGAAAUGCUUAGAUGUGACAUAGAACACCAAUUGCGAAGGCAGCUUACUACAUAUAAAUUGACGCUGAGGCACGAGAGCGUGGGGA